AAAAAUUUAGUUUAAUAAAACAUUAACUUGUCAAGUUAAAGAUAUACAAAAGUAUAAUUUUUA
This 63-nucleotide transfer RNA is filed under the name Melamphaus rubrocinctus. RNAcentral's name for it is "tRNA-Asp". It matches the Rfam family "tRNA". Rfam says of the family: Transfer RNA (tRNA) molecules are approximately 80 nucleotides in length. Their secondary structure includes four short double-helical elements and three loops (D, anti-codon, and T loops). Further hydrogen bonds mediate the characteristic L-shaped molecular structure. tRNAs have two regions of fundamental functional importance: the anti-codon, which is responsible for specific mRNA codon recognition, and the 3' end, to which the tRNAs corresponding amino acid is attached (by aminoacyl-tRNA synthetases). tRNAs cope with the degeneracy of the genetic code in two manners: having more than one tRNA (with a specific anti-codon) for a particular amino acid; and 'wobble' base-pairing, i.e. permitting non-standard base-pairing at the 3rd anti-codon position. Lineage: Eukaryota; Metazoa; Arthropoda; Insecta; Hemiptera; Pyrrhocoridae. The record is from RNAcentral.